This 253-nucleotide ribosomal RNA is filed under the name uncultured bacterium. Its description in RNAcentral is "partial 16S ribosomal RNA". It matches the Rfam family "Bacterial small subunit ribosomal RNA", at positions 524 to 776 of the family's 1533-position model. The record is from RNAcentral.
UACGUAGGUGGCAAGCGUUGUCCGGAUUUACUGGGCGUAAAGAGCGCGCAGGCGGUCGGAUCAGUCGAAUGUGAAAGCCCCCGGCUCAACUGGGGAGGGUCAUUCGAUACUGUCCGACUCGAAGGCAGGAGAGGGAAGCGGAAUUCCCGGUGUAGUGGUGAAAUGCGUAGAUAUCGGGAGGAACACCAGUGGCGAAGGCGGCUCUCUGGGCCCUACCUGACGCUGAGACGCGAAAGCGUGGGGAGCGAACCGG